Molecule: ribosomal RNA, 389 nt
Filed under: uncultured bacterium
Lineage: Bacteria
Description: bacterial SSU rRNA
Rfam family: Bacterial small subunit ribosomal RNA
Source: RNAcentral
GACGAACGCUGGCGGCGUGCUUAACACAUGCAAGUCGAGCGGUAAGGCCCUUUCGGGGGUACACGAGCGGCGAACGGGUGAGUAACACGUGGGUGACCUGCCCUCAGCUCUGGGAUAAGCCUGGGAAACCGGGUCUAAUACUGGAUAUGACUCCAUGACGCAUGUUGUGGGGUGGAAAGCCUUGUGCGGCUGAGGAUGGGCCCNCGGCCUAUCAGCUUGUUGGUGGGGUGAUGGCCUACCAAGGCGACGACGGGUAGCCGGCCUGAGAGGGCGACCGGCCACACUGGGACUGAGACACGGCCCAGACUCCUACGGGAGGCAGCAAGGUGGGGAAUCUUGCGCAAUGGGCGAAAGCCUGACGCAGCGACGCCGCGUGAGGGAUGACGGCC